RNAcentral lists this long non-coding RNA (244 nucleotides) under Elaeis guineensis (African oil palm). RNAcentral describes it as "long non-coding RNA (EGUI_LNC033737)". The record is from RNAcentral. Lineage: Eukaryota; Viridiplantae; Streptophyta; Magnoliopsida; Arecales; Arecaceae.
CAUCCAUUUGUCCUCCAGCUUGAGCUUCUAUGGCAUCUCGCAUGGUCACAACUAGAAGGAAAAUCGAUUUUAGAUUUUUAGAGGAGGAAUACUUUCGGAUUGGGAGUUGAUCCGACAAUAAGGAUGGAAAAAGAUGUGUUCAUUGGAGGUGCCCACCUAUCCUAAUCUUGUGAGGAAAUUCUUUGAAAUUUGAGAAUAGAUACAGCCUCUUUGAAAUCAACUGUGAAGGGCAUUUUGAUUGUGC